This 497-nucleotide ribosomal RNA is filed under the name uncultured bacterium. RNAcentral describes it as "partial 16S ribosomal RNA". It matches the Rfam family "Bacterial small subunit ribosomal RNA", at positions 28 to 507 of the family's 1533-position model. The record is from RNAcentral.
GACGAACGCUGGCGGCGUGCCUAAUACAUGCAAGUUGAGCGCUGAAGGUUGGUACUUGUACCAACUGGAUGAGCAGCGAACGGGUGAGUAACGCGUGGGGAAUCUGCCUUUGAGCGGGGGACAACAUUUGGAAACGAAUGCUAAUACCGCAUAAAAACUUUAAACACAAGUUUUAAGUUUGAAAGAUGCAAUUGCAUCACUCAAAGAUGAUCCCGCGUUGUAUUAGCUAGUUGGUGAGGUAAAGGCUCACCAAGGCGAUGAUACAUAGCCGACCUGAGAGGAUGAUCGGCCACAUUGGGACUGAGACACGGCCCAAACGCCUACGGGAGGCAGCAGUAGGGAAUCUUCGGCAAGGGACGAAAGUCUGACCGAGCAACGCCGCGUGAGUGAAGAAGGUUUUCGGAUCGUAAAACUCUGUUGGUAGAGAAGAACGUUGGUGAGAGUGGAAAGAUCAUCAAGUGACGGUAACUACCCAGAAAGGGACGGCUAACUACGUG